This is a long non-coding RNA of Talpa occidentalis (Iberian mole), 648 nucleotides long. RefSeq lists it as uncharacterized. The record is from RefSeq and is a predicted model, not a curated record. The transcript is spliced from 4 exons. Lineage: Eukaryota; Metazoa; Chordata; Mammalia; Eulipotyphla; Talpidae.
AUGCCUUAAGAUUAUGACAUCAGCAAUCACGCCAUAGCUACCUAAGUCAUAUCCAUACUUGCCCCCGUGGGUCCUUUCCUGAAGGAAGCUGAAAAAUGUUCCAAAUCUCAGCAGACGUCCUACCGAACUGCUAGUCUACUUCGAGAAUAGUUCUUGGACUUCAGGCCUGAAGGCAGGCAUCACUGCCACCAGAGGAACAUUUCUGUUAGUGAGAUCAAGAGGACUGCUUAACAUUUGAGUGAAAUGUUUGAAUCUUAAUACUAAAUGCUGCCUAAGUCAGUGAAUGGGUCCUCUUGCCAAACAAAGCUGUUCUUCUGGACAUCAUGGAAAACUAAUGAAACUUCUCUUGCACAGAAGAUAACAAGACACAACAUGAAAGCUAUAUUUUUUUAUAUCUUGGCAUUGAAGUCAAGAGGAGCUAAGGAUAAAGUUAAAAUAGUGAGUUUUUCAGAACAAGAAAAGUCUGCGGUAGCCAACUUAUAUCCUCAGUGGUUGCCCUACUGGCGAAGAAUAUCUUCUAUAUCAUCUGAAUUUGUAUUAACAUUUUCUAAAAUGCCAAUAUCAGAGAUAUUGUACUCAGCAUUAAAGUAUGUGAAUGAGUGAAUGAAUUUUCCUAAAAAUCAUAAAGUUGGUGCAUGAUGGUGCAAA